Molecule: ribosomal RNA, 435 nt
Filed under: Triconia dentipes
Lineage: Eukaryota; Metazoa; Arthropoda; Copepoda; Poecilostomatoida; Oncaeidae
Description: partial 12S ribosomal RNA
Source: RNAcentral
UUUUAGGAAUAAUCUUUUACUUUUUUAAAAAGUAUAUUAUAGUAAUAAUGGUUAAAUAUAUUUACUUAUAAGAUACUUAAUAUUAAAUUAUAAAAUUUAUAACAAAAUAGGGGUAGUAUCCUUUUAUGAAAUUCUGAUUUAGGGUAGUUUUAAAAACCGAAAAUAAGUGGCAGUAAAAUAUUCAAAUUAAGGAAUUUUGAAAACUCAAUUGAUAAUCCUCAAUUUUAUUUACUUUAAAAAAUUUUUUGUGCGGCUGUUCAAUAAUAAUUUAAAAAUUUAAGUUUAAAUCAGGUUUUGCGUUAUUUAUAUUUAAAGGAAUUUUUGAAAUGUAGUUAAAAUAUUAUUCGAUGUUUAAUUAUACUUAAUACUUAAUAGUAAUAAAUAUAUUGAUAAAAUAGUUUUAUUUUAGGUUCAUAUUGUCCGUCACUCUCUUUU